Molecule: long non-coding RNA, 268 nt
Filed under: Chelydra serpentina (North American snapping turtle)
Lineage: Eukaryota; Metazoa; Chordata; Testudines; Chelydridae
Description: lncRNA (ENSCSRG00000020731.1)
Source: RNAcentral
CCGUCUCGGUGCUCGCUGGCAGUAGGGGACGCGCGGCCUUCUCAUUGGCCCGUAGGACACCCGCUCCAGACCGGGAGACGCAGCCACGGGGCUGCCGGAGUCGAGCGCGGGGAAGAGCUCGUCGCUGGUCGGUCACUGGCCGGCCGCGAGAACCUUGCUUCACAAUACCCAAGAACAUCAAGAGAGACAAAGGGUCAAGUACCUCACUCCACCUUACCUAAGAACAGCAACACAGCCAUCAGGAUAAGAGUGAAUAUAUGAAGGAGGA